Molecule: ribosomal RNA, 465 nt
Filed under: Vreelandella stevensii
Lineage: Bacteria; Pseudomonadati; Pseudomonadota; Gammaproteobacteria; Oceanospirillales; Halomonadaceae
Description: partial 16S ribosomal RNA
Rfam family: Bacterial small subunit ribosomal RNA
Source: RNAcentral
CCUACGGGCGGCAGCAGUGGGGAAUAUUGGACAAUGGGGGCAACCCUGAUCCAGCCAUGCCGCGUGUGUGAAGAAGGCCCUCGGGUUGUAAAGCACUUACAGUGAGGAAGAACGCCUGGUGGUUAAUACCCAUCAGGAAAGACAUCACUCACAGAAGAAGCACCGGCUAACUCCGUGCCAGCAGCCGCGGUAAUACGGAGGGUGCGAGCGUUAAUCGGAAUUACUGGGCGUAAAGCGCGCGUAGGUGGCUUGAUAAGCCGGUUGUGAAAGCCCCGGGCUCAACCUGGGAACGGCAUCCGGAACUGUCAAGCUAGAGUGCAGGAGAGGAAGGUAGAAUUCCCGGUGUAGCGGUGAAAUGCGUAGAGAUCGGGAGGAAUACCAGUGGCGAAGGCGGCCUUCUGGACUGACACUGACACUGAGGUGCGAAAGCGUGGGUAGCAAACAGGAUUAGAUACCCUUGUAGUC